This 801-nucleotide ribosomal RNA is filed under the name Magnaporthiopsis poae. RNAcentral describes it as "SSU rRNA". The stretch from base 1 to 538 matches the Rfam family "Eukaryotic small subunit ribosomal RNA", at positions 40 to 595 of the family's 1831-position model. The record is from RNAcentral. Lineage: Eukaryota; Fungi; Ascomycota; Sordariomycetes; Magnaporthales; Magnaporthaceae.
UAGAUUAGCCAUGCAUGUCUAAGUAUAAGCAAUUAUACAGCGAAACUGCGAAUGGCUCAUUAAAUCAGUUAUCGUUUAUUUGAUAGUACCUUACUACAUGGAUAACCGUGGUAAUUCUAGAGCUAAUACAUGCUGAAAACCCCGACUUCGGAAGGGGUGUAUUUAUUAGAUUAAAAACCAAUGCCCUUCGGGGCUCACUGGUGAUUCAUGAUAACUUCUCGAAUCGCACGGCCUUGCGCCGGCGAUGGUUCAUUCAAAUUUCUGCCCUAUCAACUUUCGACGGCUGGGUCUUGGCCAGCCGUGGUGACAACGGGUAACGGAGGGUUAGGGCUCGACCCCGGAGAAAACGCCUGAGAAACGGCGUUUACAUCCAAGGAAGGCAGCAGGCGCGCAAAUUACCCAAUGCCGACACGGCGAGGUAGUGACGAGAAAUACUGAUACAGGGCUCUUUUGGGUCUUGUAAUUGGAAUGAGUACAAUUUAAAUCUCUUAACGAGGAACAAUUGGAGGGCAAGUCUGGUGAACGUUCCAGUUCCGAUGCUGGUGCCAGAGAUAGCGGUUAAAUAGCCCACGCUAGUCGAGCAUCCGCCAUCAGCGGGAGGAUGCCGGCGAGACAACCUGGAUCGGGGGACGCUAAGGUGCCGAAGGGCGCUAUGCCAAUCCCGAGCGGAGUCCACUGACGGACCCGUGUAGAGCGCGCAAAGGUGUCGGUCCGGCUCGGUCGAGCUGGGCUUAAGGUACGUGCCGAUCCCCCGCGAAAGCGGGGCCGCGUCCAAGAGUGCCCGCUGCACGAAUGGACGUG